Molecule: non-coding RNA, 2938 nt
Organism: Microcebus murinus (gray mouse lemur)
Lineage: Eukaryota; Metazoa; Chordata; Mammalia; Primates; Cheirogaleidae
Source: RefSeq, a predicted model, not a curated record
UCCUGAGCUCAAACGGUCCACUGGCCUCAGCCUCCCAGAGUGCUAGGAUUACAGGUGUGAGCCACUUCGCCCAGCCUUGAUCUGACGUUUUUAACAGGGCUUCUUUGGCUGCUGUGUGGAGAGUAGCCUGUAGAGAACAAGGGAUGAAGCAGGGAGACUUGUUAGGAGGCUAUUGCAAUAAUCCUUUUAUCCAAACAGGGUAAAGUGCUUUAUAAAUCAGUAAGUAGUAAGGGAAAUUUCCAAUCGACUUAAGUAAUUCAGAGACGAAGGACCACAGUUGUUCAUUUAUGUUUUUGUUCAAUGUGACUAGAGAUUAAACGUAUAUAGAACUGGUUUGUGACACGCUGACAGUGUGGUAUCCAAAAGACAUCCACUCAAGAGUAUUUAGGUAGAAAUUGAUUUUCUUAGCCAUUUAAGCAAAAACAUGAUUUCAAGCAGAAUAUUGUUUUUAAAGGCUUAAUAUCAGCACAACCUUUCAUUUAGUGUAAUAUUUUAACCCUCUUUUCUAUUUGUGGAUAUGAGUUGCCAAAGCUAUUAAGGAAUAGACCUUUGUUAAGAUAGUUAUUCCCCUGAUGUUUUUCUGUAUUAUUUUGCCUAUUACUAUAAAUUGCUUUGGGAUUGAAAGAAAAGAAAGCUAUCAAAUUUAUACCUUUGAACUCAAUUAUUGGUCUUAAUCAAAUGUAAUUCUAAACAAAAUGGAUAAGUGUUUUAUUAUGGGUCAAGAGCACAGAUCCAUCUUGUUUUGUUUCAACUGCUGCUUUUAAAUUCCAUGCCUUAGCUGUUGGGAGUUGACUCAGGUCUUAUCUCAAGAAUAUUCUUAAAGUAUCAGAAUAAAAGAUAAAAUGCUUUUAACAAUAAAAGUCAAUUUUUAUUUUAUAAGUCAUUUUGUAAUAAUUAGAACAUUAUUUUAGAAAACAUUUUUUGAUCAUUUUAUGAUCCAUAAAAGGCACUGUAAUAUCUACAUGAGCUCUUCUGAAGCACAAUUCUGCUGAACUUCACUGCCCUGGAACUUUUUGUUAUAAUUUGUAUCAGACUACAUGCAGGAUGUAGUGUUUAGAGGGCAUAAACUCUUGAGUAGUACUUCUCGAACCUUGAUCCACUGAUGUGUACAGACAGACCUUUUUAAUGGUUAUGUAUUUCAUUCAUAUUACAAAAAAAGUCAUCAAAUCCCUUGCUUAGGAUAAGGCCAAUACAUAUAAUAUGUAUGUGUAUAAACAUUUUGAUGAAUUUUUAGGAAAGUAGUAUUAUAGGUGGAACUCAGGUACUGCAGAAUUACGACACGAAUGAAUGAGGACUGUACAGUAGUAUGUUCUCUAUACCAAAAGCAUCAUAAUCACCUAUGAUCUUUAUUAAAAUAUAGAUUCCUGGAUCCACAGAAUCAGGACUUCUGAGAAAUUUCUCUGCACCUUUAACAAGAUCCCCAAGUCUUCCUUAUGCACAUUAAAGUUUGAAAACUGCUGCUGAGCUAGAUUGCAAAGCUGAGUAGAUCAGAAGCAGCUUGUUUGUGGUCUUCCAAACUUGUCCUGAUAUUUUAACAUUAGAUUUAGAAUUACCAUUUAGUGGCAUAGUAUCUUACUCCUAUUUUCGACUGCUUCUUACCACCCCCAAUCCCUUAGCUUUUGAUUAUAAGACAGAUUUAUGAGGAUAGGUUCUAAGUCUUGAUUAUCUUAUUUGCCUUGCCCAUAGUAGUAAAUGCCAAAUGAAUGAAUGACUACAUGAAUUGUGCUCUUUUCUGAUUGUCCAUAGCACUUCAUACUACUUUUACCUGCUCCUUUCCCUUAGAAUGUCACUUGUCAUCUUAUUUUAACCAACACUUCUAUUCUCCAGUAUUCUUAGGACAUUUUUAGACCUUAAUCUAAGGGCAAUAGUCAUUAAUUUAUUCAACAAUUUAUUGAGCAGCCAUAGCACCAGAUAGUCGCAAUACAUUGAUUAAGAAGAUAUUAUACCUGUCUUCAAGAAAUUGUUAGUCAAGGGCGGACGUGCUUGCUCAUGCCUGUAAUCCUAGCACUUUGGGAAGCUGAUGUGGGAGGAUCACUUGAGGCCAGGAGUUGAGGCCAGCCAGAGCAAUAUAGUGCAAGACCCUGUGUCUAUCUUUGCCGUAUCUGCUGCGAAGCUGAGACGCACCGGAGGUCGCUCUUGUUUUCAGUUCCGUAGUCCCCGAAUUUCUGCCUAGCAUUCUCCUGUAGGAGUGGGGCUCUGUGCGAUGUAGUUUGGUAGGAAACGGUCCCUGUGCCUGGCCUGUUUACCCCAAGUGUUUGUGUUUCAGAAUGAAGACCAUUCUCAGCAAUCAGACUGUUGACAUUCCAGAAAAUGUCGACAUCACUCUUAAGGGAUGCACAGUUAUUGUGAAGGGUCCCAGAGGGACCCUGCGGAGGGACUUCAAUCACAUCAAUGUAGAACUUAGUCUCCUUGGAAAGAAAAAGAAGAGGCUCCAGGUUGACAAAUGGUGGGGAAAUAGUAAGGAACUGGCUACUGUUCGCACUAUUUGUAGUCAUGUACAGAACAUGAUCAAGGGUGUUACACUGGGUUUCCGUUACAAGAUGAGGUCUGUGUAUGCUCUCUUCCCCAUCAACGUUGUUAUCCAGGAGAAUGGGUCUCUUGUUGAAAUACGAAAUUUCUUAGGUGAGACAUUCAUCUGCAGGGUUCGGAUAAGGCCAGGUGUUGCUUGUUCAGUAUCUCAAGCACAGAAAGAUGAGUUAAUCCUCGAAGGAAAUGACAUUGAGUUUGUUUCAAAUCAGGCUGCUUUGAUUCAGCAAGCCACAACAGUUAAAAACAAGGAUAUCAGAAAAUUUUGGGAUGGUAUCUAUGUCUCUGAAAAAGAAACAGUUCAGCAGGCUAAUGAAUAAGAUCUAAGAGUUGUCCAGCCACAUGAAGACACCGCAUGAUUACUAAGAUGUAUUUGUAAUUUUGAUGGUGCAACAAAAGAGCUGUUGGUUUG